CAGUAGCCGCGGUAAUACGAAGGGUGCAAGCGUUACUCGGAAUUACUGGGCGUAAAGCGUGCGUAGGUGGUGGUUUAAGUCCGUUGUGAAAGCCCUGGGCUCAACCUGGGAAUUGCAGUGGAUACUGGGUCACUAGUGUGUGGUAGAGGAUAGUGGAAUUUCCGGUGUAGCAGUGAAAUGCGUAGAGAUCGGAAGGAACAUCUGUGGCGAAGGCGACUAUCUGGGCCAACACUGACACUGAGGCACGAAAGCGUGGGAGCAAACAGGAUUAGAUACCCGAGUAGUCCCUGUCUCUUAUACA
RNAcentral lists this ribosomal RNA (301 nucleotides) under uncultured bacterium. RNAcentral describes it as "partial 16S ribosomal RNA". It matches the Rfam family "Bacterial small subunit ribosomal RNA", at positions 509 to 808 of the family's 1533-position model. The record is from RNAcentral.